Molecule: long non-coding RNA, 203 nt
Filed under: Elaeis guineensis (African oil palm)
Lineage: Eukaryota; Viridiplantae; Streptophyta; Magnoliopsida; Arecales; Arecaceae
Description: long non-coding RNA (EGUI_LNC016306)
Source: RNAcentral
CUUCUCCUUCCUUCAGUUUCUUUUGGGCAAAAAUAGGGGACCGUGUGGUCCCUCCCAUGUUCGACGGAUCAGAGGCCGUGGCUAGUGCGGCGGUGACCGACGACAGGAGGGCUACAAUACUGCAGCCCAAAGGAAGCCAAACUGACGGUCGGCGGUGACUACCGGCAUCAAAAAAUCAAAGAAAAAGAGGGGCGAAACAGUCC